UGACCUAAACCCUCACCAGAGUAACAAUUGGAGGGCAAGUCUGGUGCCAGCAGCCGCGGUAAUUCCAGCUCCAAUAGCGUAUAUUAAACUUGUUGCAGUUAAAAAGCUCGUAGUUGAAUUUUUGCGUGGUGUUAAUAUUGACUGAUGUCGAGAUUGCACUUCGCUUUUGGGAUUUUUCCCUUUUUACUUUGAGAAAAUUAGAGUGUUUCAAGCAGACUUUUGUCUUGAAUACUUCAGCAUGGAAUAAUAGAGUAGGACUUUGGUUCUAUUUUGUUGGUUUGUGAACCUUAGUAAUGGUUAAUAGGAACGGUUGGGGGCAUUCGUAUUUAACUGUCAGAGGUGAAAUUCUUAGAUUUGUUAAAGACGAACUACUGCGAAAGCAUUUGCCAAGGACGUUUUCAUUAAUCAAGAACGAAAGUUAGGGGAUCGAAGACGAUCAGAUACCGUCGUAGUCCUAACCAUAAACUAA
RNAcentral lists this ribosomal RNA (469 nucleotides) under Babesia capreoli. RNAcentral's name for it is "SSU rRNA". It matches the Rfam family "Eukaryotic small subunit ribosomal RNA", at positions 521 to 1040 of the family's 1831-position model. Lineage: Eukaryota; Apicomplexa; Aconoidasida; Piroplasmida; Babesiidae. The record is from RNAcentral.